This 273-nucleotide ribosomal RNA is filed under the name uncultured Rubellimicrobium sp. RNAcentral's name for it is "partial 16S ribosomal RNA". It matches the Rfam family "Bacterial small subunit ribosomal RNA", at positions 524 to 796 of the family's 1533-position model. The record is from RNAcentral. Lineage: Bacteria; Pseudomonadati; Pseudomonadota; Alphaproteobacteria; Rhodobacterales; Roseobacteraceae.
UACGGAGGGGGUUAGCGUUGUUCGGAAUGACUGGGCGUAAAGCGCGCGUAGGCGGAUCAGGAAGUUGGGGGUGAAAUCCCGGGGCUCAACCCCGGAAUGGCCUUCAAAACUCCUGGUCUUGAGUUCGAGAGAGGUGAGUGGAAUUCCGAGUGUAGAGGUGAAAUUCGUAGAUAUUCGGAGGAACACCAGUGGCGAAGGCGGCUCACUGGCUCGACACUGACGCUGAGGUGCGAAAGCGUGGGGAGCAAACAGGAUUAGAUACCCCUGUAGUCC